RNAcentral lists this ribosomal RNA (451 nucleotides) under uncultured bacterium. Its description in RNAcentral is "partial 16S ribosomal RNA". It matches the Rfam family "Bacterial small subunit ribosomal RNA", at positions 354 to 796 of the family's 1533-position model. The record is from RNAcentral.
GUGGGGAAUAUUGGACAAUGGGGGCAACCCUGAUCCAGCCAUGCCGAGUGUGUGAAGAAGGCCUUUUGGUUGUAAAGCACUUUAAGCGAGGAGGAGGCUUACCUGGUUAAUACCUGGGAUAAGUGGACGUUACUCGCAGAAUAAGCACCGGCUAACUCUGUGCCAGCAGCCGCGGUAAUACAGAGGGUGCAAGCGUUAAUCGGAUUUACUGGGCGUAAAGCGCGCGUAGGUGGCUAAUUAAGUCAAAUGUGAAAUCCCCGAGCUUAACUUGGGAAUUGCAUUCGAUACUGGUUAGCUAGAGUAUGGGAGAGGAUGGUAGAAUUCCAGGUGUAGCGGUGAAAUGCGUAGAGAUCUGGAGGAAUACCGAUGGCGAAGGCAGCCAUCUGGCCUAAUACUGACACUGAGGUGCGAAAGCAUGGGGAGCAAACAGGAUUAGAUACCCUGGUAGUCC